Molecule: small RNA, 270 nt
Filed under: Mus pahari (shrew mouse)
Lineage: Eukaryota; Metazoa; Chordata; Mammalia; Rodentia; Muridae
Description: sRNA (MGP_PahariEiJ_G0008400.1)
Rfam family: 7SK RNA (bases 1-176)
About the family: 7SK was discovered as an abundant small nuclear RNA in the mid-70s but a possible function has only recently been suggested. Two independent studies have found that 7SK RNA binds the CDK9/cyclin T complex (known as elongation factor P-TEFb).
Source: RNAcentral
GGGAGGGGGAUCUGGCUGCAACAUCUGUCACUCUACUUGUCACCAAGGUUGACUCAGCUAAUUUGGCUGGCUAGGUCGGUGUCUCCUUUCCACCUUACCACUCCAUGUGUACCUCACCCAAAGCAUCAUGCUUCCUUGAAGAGGACAAGCUUCCCCUAACAGAACCUCCAAGCAAGCUCUCAAGCUUGCAUUUUCUGAUUUUUCAUUUCUAAAUGUUCAAUUCAAUAUAUUAUCAAUCCCUGAGUCUCCAAUGACAAUGUUUAUGUGUUU